This 67-nucleotide transfer RNA is filed under the name Cerogria janthinipennis. RNAcentral's name for it is "tRNA-Ser". The record is from RNAcentral. Lineage: Eukaryota; Metazoa; Arthropoda; Insecta; Coleoptera; Tenebrionidae.
AAUUAGAGAACUUGAAUAAGUAUAUAUUUUGAAAAUAUAAUAAAGAAAUUAAAAUUUCUUCUGAUUU